AAGAAGUAUCUUCAACAGAGCAUACGCAGUAUUUUAUUAUUAAUGUAUCAUGGUAAAAAACAUUUAAUAUCAUUAUUAAAUACUUGAAAAUCAAGUAUGAGUAGAUCUCCAAGAAAGAGGCUGACUAUGAUGGAAAUGCACAUCAUAAAAGAUAUCUAUCUGGAUUUUAUGUUGAGUGUCGUUAGAAGUUUCAUAUGUUAACCAUAAUGCUUCUACACUCCUCGUCAAAAAGAUAACCCAGGUGUGCUAUCUUUAAUUUCUUAAUGACGCGUGUAAAGUUCUUCGUCUGUAACGUAUAAUAUCAAAACAUUAUGAGCUCAGAAUAUGUGGUUCAUUGAAAAUAAUUAAAAAUAUUAUGAGGUUUAGUGUGUAACAAAAAAAUUGUUUUAUUUUAAGAACGAAAUGAUAACACACUCUGUUAAUAUGUUUAGAAAUUGCUCAGUAGUUCAUGAUGUAUCGAAUAAAUAUUACAGUACAAUGUUAUAUAAAUUUACGAAAAACUUUACACGCGUCAUUAAGAAAUUAAAGAUAGUACACCUGGGUUAUCUUUUUGACGAGGAGUGUAAGCAUGAGUGCUAAGUAAGUUAUUUUCCCCAUUUUUUCUUCUUUUCUAAUUCUGUUAUACUUCAUAGUAAAAAUAUUUACGUAGAUAUUUUCCAACACAGAGCAGUGCUAAAUUAUUUGUGCGGUUCCUAUUUGUAAUAAAUACUUAAACAAAUAAUGAAAUUAAUUAUUUAAAUUAGGAUAGGAAAACAAAUUUUGUUAUUGCAUACAGCUGGAACUGAAUGCCAACUAAUAUACAAAAUUUUUAUACUGUUUGUUAUUGACGUAAUCACUGUUGAGGAUAUUUAAUUAUGGUUAAAGAAUGACAUUUUUGUAUCAUACACUGAACUAAAUAUCAUUACGUAAUAAGUGACUUAUAGCAAUAAUUAUAAAAAGCACAAGUUAUAUAUUUAAUUACAUAUUAAAUUGUAUUAUUAUUAAAAAAAAAAUUGCUGUGUUUAUAUGUAUAUGUACUGUAUAUAUGUUUGACAUAUGUAUUGACUUAGUUUAGGUAUAAGAACAUCCUAGAUUAUUAUCAUGUAACUUAUAUGUAAAUGUUAUAUAUGUAUUAAUUUUUAUAUGUUUAAAAAGUGAUACUGUAUAUUACUUAAUCUGUCUAAAUUGUACAUAAAAAAUAUUUUAUGGUGUUAAAAACUGUAUAUAGUUACAUAAUUGAAAUUUAUUUAUUUUUUCGGCUUUAUUAUUUGACUUACACAUUUGUAACUUCCACUCUGUCCCAUACAUAAGUUAUGUAAUUUUAUUUUAAGAUUAAUUACUAAUUUGGAUGAAAGAUGUGUUGUAUUUUAACUUAUUAUUUCAUUUCUGGAUAUCUUAUUGAGUACUCUCGUAUGAAACUAACGAUUCACAAAUUUUGUUGCAAUUGUUAAAAACAUAAAUAACACUUUAUGCUUA
Molecule: long non-coding RNA, 1455 nt
Organism: Bombus pascuorum
Lineage: Eukaryota; Metazoa; Arthropoda; Insecta; Hymenoptera; Apidae
Exons: 2
Source: RefSeq, a predicted model, not a curated record